UGUGUAUAACUUGAUGUUACAUUAAGCAA
RNAcentral lists this non-coding RNA (29 nucleotides) under Rattus norvegicus (Norway rat). The record is from RNAcentral. Lineage: Eukaryota; Metazoa; Chordata; Mammalia; Rodentia; Muridae.